GGAGUCUGGGCCGUAUCUCAGUCCCAAUGUGGCCGUUCAACCUCUCAGUCCGGCUACUGAUCGCAGUCUUGGUAGGCCGUUACCCUGCCAACUAACUAAUCAGAUAUGAGCCCAUCUUUCAGCGGAUUGCUCCUUUGGUAUCCAGGUGAUGCCACCCAAAUACAUUAUGCGGUAUUAGCAGUCGUUUCCAACUGUUGUCCCCCUCUGAAAGGCAGGUUGCUCAUACAUUACUCACCCGUCCGCCACUAAGUUACAAAAGCAAGCUCUCGUAACUCCGUUCGACUUGCAUGUGUUAGGCACGCCGCCAGCGUUCAUC
Molecule: ribosomal RNA, 316 nt
Filed under: uncultured Oscillospiraceae bacterium
Lineage: Bacteria; Bacillati; Bacillota; Clostridia; Eubacteriales; Oscillospiraceae
Description: partial 16S ribosomal RNA
Source: RNAcentral